RNAcentral lists this unclassified non-coding RNA (160 nucleotides) under uncultured Paecilomyces. RNAcentral's name for it is "sequence contains ITS2". The record is from RNAcentral. Lineage: Eukaryota; Fungi; Ascomycota; Eurotiomycetes; Eurotiales; Thermoascaceae.
CAACCCUCAAGCCCUGCUUGGUGUUGGGGACCGGCACGCCCCCAGCGCGUGCCGCCCCCGAAAUACAGUGGCGGUCUCGCCGCGGCCUCCCCUGCGUAGUAGCUAACCUCGCAUGCGGAGCGCGGCGCGGCCACGCCGUAAAACCCCCAAAAAUCUCAAA